CUUCUCACCUCAUUUGCUUGUAUAUAGACUUAUUUUUCUAUUGUGUUAUUGACUGUAUGUUUGUUUAUUCCAUGUGUAACUGUGUUGUGUGUGUCGCACUGCUUUGCUUUAUCUUGGCCAGGUCGCAGUUGUAACUGAGAACUUGUUCUCAACCGGCCUACCUGGUUAAAUAAAGGUGUUCUCAACCGGCCUACCUGGUUAAAUAAAGGUGUUCUCAACCGGCCUACCUGGUUAAAUAAAAGGUGUUCUCAACCGGCCUACCUGGUUAAAUAAAGGUGUUCUCAACCGGCCUACCUGGUUAAAUAAAGG
This is a long non-coding RNA of Oncorhynchus tshawytscha (Chinook salmon), 309 nucleotides long. The record is from Ensembl. NCBI's taxonomy places the organism in Eukaryota, Metazoa, Chordata, Actinopteri, Salmoniformes, Salmonidae.